AGUAGGGAAUCUUCCGCAAUGGACGAAAGUCUGACGGAGCAACGCCGCGUGAGCGAAGAAGGUCUUCGGAUUGUAAAGCUCUGUUGUUAGGGAAGAACAAGUACCGUUCGAAGAGGGCGGUACCGUGACGGUACCUAACGAGAAAGCCACGGCUAACUACGUGCCAGCAGCCGCGGUAAUACGUAGGUGGCAAGCGUUGUCCGGAAUUAUUGGGCGUAAAGCGCGCGCAGGCGGUUCCUUAAAUCUGAUGUGAAAGCCCACGGCUCAACCGUGGAGGGUCAUUGGAAACUGGGGGACUUGAGUGCAGAAGAGGAGAGCGGAAUUCCACGUGUAGCGGUGAAAUGCGUAGAGAUGUGGAGGAACACCAGUGGCGAAGGCGGCUCUCUGGUCUGUAACUGACGCUGAGGCGCGAAAGCGUGGGGAGCAAA
RNAcentral lists this ribosomal RNA (428 nucleotides) under uncultured Anoxybacillus sp. RNAcentral's name for it is "bacterial SSU rRNA". It matches the Rfam family "Bacterial small subunit ribosomal RNA", at positions 353 to 772 of the family's 1533-position model. The record is from RNAcentral. Lineage: Bacteria; Bacillati; Bacillota; Bacilli; Caryophanales; Anoxybacillaceae.